RNAcentral lists this ribosomal RNA (450 nucleotides) under uncultured bacterium. Its description in RNAcentral is "partial 16S ribosomal RNA". It matches the Rfam family "Bacterial small subunit ribosomal RNA", at positions 354 to 796 of the family's 1533-position model. The record is from RNAcentral.
GUGGGGAAUAUUGGACAAUGGGCGAAAGCCUGAUCCAGCCAUGCCGCGUGUGUGAAGAAGGUCUUCGGAUUGUAAAGCACUUUAAGUUGGGAGGAAGGGCAGUAAGUUAAUACCUUGCUGUUUUGACGUUACCGACAGAAUAAGCACCGGCUAACUUCGUGCCAGCAGCCGCGGUAAUACGAAGGGUGCAAGCGUUAAUCGGAAUUACUGGGCGUAAAGCGCGCGUAGGUGGUUUUGUAAGUUGGAGGUGAAAUCCCCGGGCUCAACCUGGGAACUGCCUCCAAAACUGCAUGACUAGAGUACGGUAGAGGGUAGUGGAAUUUCCGGUGUAGCGGUGAAAUGCGUAGAUAUAGGAAGGAACACCAGUGGCGAAGGCGACUACCUGGACUGAUACUGACACUGAGGUGCGAAAGCGUGGGGAGCAAACAGGAUUAGAAACCCCGGUAGUCC